UCAAGUUUAGCGGGAAAAAGGCUAAGAAUACAGGAGGACCACCUUUUGUGUAGACGGCUUUUUGGCCCGUAGCCGACGGUUAAGACAGGAAAGCGUGGUUAGCAAACCAGAUUAGAUACCCUGUAUUCCCACGCCCUAAACCGAUGCAUACUUGGUGUGAGCCAUUCAGGUGGUUCGUGCCGGAGUUAACGCGUUAAGUAUGCCGCNUGGGGAGUACGGUCGCAAAGGCUGAAACUCAAAGAAAUUGACGGGGGGCCCGCACAAGCGGUGGAGCAUGUGGUUUAAUUCGACGCAACGCGAAGAACCUAACCUGGGCUCGAACGGCUCGUGACAGCUGGUGGAAACACUGGUUUUCCCGCAAGGGACUAGAGUCGAGGUGCUGCAUGGCUGUCGUCAGCUCGUGUCGUGAGAUGUUGGGUUAAGUCCCGCAACGAGCGCAACCCUUGUCCUGUGUUGCAACCCCGCAAGGGGGCACUCUCAGGAGACCGCCAGCGAUAAGUUGGAGGAAGGUGGGGAUGACGUCAAGUCAUCAUGGCCUUUAUGUCCAGGGCUACACACGUGCUACAAUGGGCGGUACAAAGCGUCGCGAACCCGUGAGGGGGAGCAAAUCGCAAAAAACCGUUCUCAGUUCGGAUUGCAGGCUGCAACUCGCCUGCAUGAAGCUGGAAUCGCUAGUAAUGGCAUAUCAGAACGAUGCCGUGAAUACGUUCCCGGGCCUUGUACACACCGCCCGUCACAUCACGAAAGUGGGUUGUACUAGAAGCGCGCAGGCUAACCCGUAAGGGAGGCAGCGUUCCAAGGUAUGACUCAUGAUUGGGGUGAAGUCGUAACAAGGUAAAUCGAAUUCCCGCGGCC
RNAcentral lists this ribosomal RNA (855 nucleotides) under uncultured Acidobacterium sp. RNAcentral describes it as "bacterial SSU rRNA". It matches the Rfam family "Bacterial small subunit ribosomal RNA", at positions 668 to 1533 of the family's 1533-position model. Lineage: Bacteria; Pseudomonadati; Acidobacteriota; Terriglobia; Terriglobales; Acidobacteriaceae. The record is from RNAcentral.